This 347-nucleotide ribosomal RNA is filed under the name Ornithodiplostomum sp. 1 SAL-2009. Its description in RNAcentral is "SSU rRNA". It matches the Rfam family "Eukaryotic small subunit ribosomal RNA", at positions 72 to 399 of the family's 1831-position model. The record is from RNAcentral. Lineage: Eukaryota; Metazoa; Platyhelminthes; Trematoda; Diplostomida; Diplostomidae.
CCUUAAACGGUGAAACCGCGAAUGGCUCAUUAAAUCAGCUAUGGUUCCUUAGAUCGUACAUGCUACAUGGAUAACUGUAGUAAUUCUAGAGCUAAUACAUGCCACUAUGCCCUGACCCGCAAGGGAACGGGUGGAUUUAUUAGAACAGAACCAACCGGGUUCGGCUUCGGUCGUUCCUGUUGCACUCUGUGAUGACUCUGGAUAACUUUACUGAUCGCAGUCGGCCUUGUGUCGGCGACGGAUCUUUCAAAUGUCUGCCCUAUCAACUUUCGAUGGUAGGUGAUCUGCCUACCAUGGUGAUAACGGGUAACGGGGAAUCAGGGUUCGAUUCCGGAGAGGGAGCCUGA